Molecule: ribosomal RNA, 253 nt
Filed under: uncultured bacterium
Lineage: Bacteria
Description: partial 16S ribosomal RNA
Rfam family: Bacterial small subunit ribosomal RNA
Source: RNAcentral
UACGUAGGGUGCGAGCGUUGUCCGGAAUUAUUGGGCGUAAAGAGCUUGUAGGCGGUCUGUCGCGUCUGCUGUGAAAAUCCGGGGCUCAACCCCGGACUUGCAGUGGGUACGGGCAGACUAGAGUGCGGGAUGGGAGAGUAGAAUUCCUGGUGUAGCGGUGAAAUGCGUAGAUAUCAGGAGGAAUACCGGUGGUGUAGACGGCUCUCUGGACCGCCACUGACGCUGAGACACGAAAGCGUGGGUAGCAAACAGG